This 30-nucleotide small RNA is filed under the name Arabidopsis thaliana (thale cress). Its description in RNAcentral is "ATSL000310". The record is from RNAcentral. Lineage: Eukaryota; Viridiplantae; Streptophyta; Magnoliopsida; Brassicales; Brassicaceae.
GCUAUUCUCGUCUUUGCCGUUCCCGGUUAA